UAGAGAAUAGUAUAGUGGAAGUAUUGAAAGUUUUGGGCUUUCAGGUUCAAGUUCAAAUCUUGAUUUUCUAG
Molecule: transfer RNA, 71 nt
Filed under: Dryophiops rubescens
Lineage: Eukaryota; Metazoa; Chordata; Lepidosauria; Squamata; Colubridae
Description: tRNA-Gln
Rfam family: tRNA
About the family: Transfer RNA (tRNA) molecules are approximately 80 nucleotides in length. Their secondary structure includes four short double-helical elements and three loops (D, anti-codon, and T loops). Further hydrogen bonds mediate the characteristic L-shaped molecular structure. tRNAs have two regions of fundamental functional importance: the anti-codon, which is responsible for specific mRNA codon recognition, and the 3' end, to which the tRNAs corresponding amino acid is attached (by aminoacyl-tRNA synthetases). tRNAs cope with the degeneracy of the genetic code in two manners: having more than one tRNA (with a specific anti-codon) for a particular amino acid; and 'wobble' base-pairing, i.e. permitting non-standard base-pairing at the 3rd anti-codon position.
Source: RNAcentral